GGCCAGCUCCUACGGGAGGCAGCAGUGGGGAAUAUUGCACAAUGGGGGAAACCCUGAUGCAGCGACGCCGCGUGAGCGAUGAAGUAUUUCGGUAUGUAAAGCUCUAUCAGCAGGGAAGAAGAUGACGGUACCCGACUAAGAAGCCCCGGCUAACUACGUGCCAGCAGCCGCGGUAAUACGUAGGGGGCAAGCGUUAUCCGGAUUUACUGGGUGUAAAGGGAGCGUAGACGGCGAUGCAAGCCAGAUGUGAAAGCCCGGGGCUCAACCCCGGGACUGCAUUUGGAACUGUGUGGCUGGAGUGUCGGAGAGGCAGGCGGAAUUCCUGGUGUAGCGGUGAAAUGCGUAGAUAUCAGGAGGAGCACCGGCGGCGAAGGCGGCCUGCUGGACCGCGACUGACGUUGAGGCUCGAAAGCGUGGGGAGCAAACAGGAUUAGAUACCCCCGUA
This 445-nucleotide ribosomal RNA is filed under the name uncultured bacterium. RNAcentral describes it as "bacterial SSU rRNA". It matches the Rfam family "Bacterial small subunit ribosomal RNA", at positions 329 to 792 of the family's 1533-position model. The record is from RNAcentral.